CAACAGCUGGAUUUGGUCUUUCCCUUCUCGCAUUGUGUGAUAUAGUCUUUGCUUCAGAAAAGGCAACUUUUCAAACGAAGUUUGUGGAGUGGGGUCAUCCUCCAGUUGGAUGUUGCUCUCUAACUUUACCUCAUUUAUAUGGUCGUUCACAGCACGAAACUCGACUGCUACAUGGCAAAGGAAUGCAGAAUUGUCGCAGAAAUUUUAUCUUUCAAACAUUUGGAGAAGGAACUCAAUUAACGUUUGGCGAGAUUUUCACUAGUUUCUAGACAGUGCCUGCGAGACACAAAGACGUUGAUGGUCAGCAGUAAUAUGAAGAACUUCAGUUUAAAAAUCACGAGGAAUGCGAUUUGUUUCAAAAGUACAUCAGCAACGAUGAUAUUGUGGAUUGCAUCGUAAGUUGAUGGUGGACGAGCUUACAGGAAUGACUUACCAUCCAGGUAUACUUGCGAUCAGACUUAUGGCGCGUGCUAAUAUUUAUUGUACAAAUAGGAUAGUGUGUCCCAAUGAUCCGUUUGUAACCGUUACGCAGCGGAAAUUGUAUUCCUAAUGAUCCGUUUGUAACCUUUACGCAGCGGAAUUUGUAGCGUUGUUUGUGUAAAUCAUUCGUAACUUGAGUUGAAUAACAAAACAUAUUCGUUCAUUUAA
Xenia sp. Carnegie-2017 is the source of this 648-nucleotide long non-coding RNA. RefSeq lists it as uncharacterized. Lineage: Eukaryota; Metazoa; Cnidaria; Anthozoa; Malacalcyonacea; Xeniidae. The transcript is spliced from 4 exons. The record is from RefSeq and is a predicted model, not a curated record.